Molecule: unclassified non-coding RNA, 279 nt
Filed under: plant metagenome
Description: partial contains small subunit ribosomal RNA, internal transcribed spacer 1, and 5.8S ribosomal RNA
Source: RNAcentral
UUUCCGUAGGUGAACCUGCGGAAGGAUCAUUAAUGAGUAAGGGCCCUCUGGGUCCCAACUAUCCCUCGUUUUUAUUGCACAUAGUUGCUUAGGUGACCCCGCCUCACGGUAAAGGGGGGGAUUCUUCCCUCGGUCACGCGUUCGCCAAAGAUACAUUAUAACUUUGUUUGCAGUUUUCUGUCUGAACGAGAAAGUAAUAUUUAAUAAAUAUAUACUACGGAUCUCUUGGUUCUGGCAUCGCUGAACAAUUUAGGAAGUCCAAACAUUACAUAUCUGAAC